Molecule: long non-coding RNA, 1092 nt
Organism: Mercurialis annua (annual mercury)
Lineage: Eukaryota; Viridiplantae; Streptophyta; Magnoliopsida; Malpighiales; Euphorbiaceae
Exons: 2
Source: RefSeq, a predicted model, not a curated record
AGAAGGGGCCUAAGAGCUUCUUGAUCACUUUAUCUCUUUCAUGUGCCCUAGCUUUACAUAUAUCUUCAGCAUGAACAUUCAAAUACAAAAGGAUCAAUGUCUUCACCUUUGUUACUUCAUGAUGUGCAUGUGACUCUCUUUUUGGCAUCGCAGACUGUUUUUCCUGGCUCAGAUUCAGUAUGGUUACCAGGCUGGGGUCCAUCACCAUUGGGCACCACUCAAAAGGAACUUUCCUUCUCCACUGUCUUCUCCGGUUUCUUUCCUUUUCCAUUUCUACUACAACUCGUCCACUUCCUCGUCAUCUAUUGCCAUCUUCUGUGUUGUCUUUGUUUCACCCUCGAGCGAAGGAUAAGAGCAUUGUUUUUUCACAACUGGAUGGUUUACUUCUACCAGAAGUGGAUGUAGCCAUGUAUUAUUUUAAUACUACAUCUAAUUCUUCUGAUAAUCUUUUAGCUUGUAUGUUUGAUUUGGAUAUGUUUGAAAAGUUGGGUCUUUUAUAAGAAACUUAUGUUGUUGAGUUUCCAUUGCCUGGUCUCUUUUUUAAUUUCUCACCAUCUAUACUUUAUGUUUGUAACAAUGCUCCUUGCGAUUCUCUUCCGAAGAGAACUGCAAGUUUUACUAGUUUUUUUCCAAUGUCUACUCAAACAUGGAAACGUAAAAGAGCUAUGUUUGAAGUAUCUUCUGAUAUGAGUGAUCUUCCAUUUUCUAUGGAUGUUGUUUUGCCUGUUCAGAUCUCUACUUCUUUAGUGAAACCUUCUUUGGAGAUUCAGCCACCACAAACCAACACUACAACUACUAGGAUGGAGGAAGCCAACCUUGAUUGGCCUCAGUCGGGUCCAUGAAAGUAUUAUUUUAGAGCUGCCAGGGUCCUAAGAUAACCCUAACACGGACCCAGUUGGUUUGAAUCAUUAAGUCCCAUAGUCUGCAUGUUUUUGGCUUUUUAAAAUGAAGACACACUCAAAAGCUACUAUUAUGUUUGUUGCUAAGUUAGGUUUUAAUAAUCUGUUUAGAGUAGACUUUUCAGGUACUACAUGAGGUUUUUUGGUCUUUUGGCAUGAUCAUGUACAAAUAUCUAAUACUACUCCUUUUUUU